GACGAACGCUGGCGGCGUGGAUUAGGCAUGCAAGUCGAACGGUAUCAUCCUUUCGGGGGUGAGAGAGUGGCGAACUGGUGAGUAACACGUAGGUUAUCUACCCUCAAGACGGGGACAACCCAGGGAAACUUGGGCUAAUACCGGAUGUGAGCAACUUUUAGUUGUUUGAAAGGUGGCGUAAGCUGUCGCUUGGGGAUGAGCCUGCUUCCUAUUAGUUAGUUGGUGAGGUAACGGCUCACCUAGGCAAUGAUAGGUAGGCGGCCUUAACGGGUGGUCGCCCACACUGGGAUUGAGAUACGGCCCAGACUCCUACGGGAGGCAGCAGUCGAGAAUAGUCUACAAUGGUCGGAAGACUGAUAGUGCGACGCCGCGUGAACGAUGAAUCCCUUCGGGGUGUAAAGUUCUUUUAUAUGUGAGCAGUGCUUCUUAUAUUAACAGUAUGGGGAGAGAGAUAUUAGCAUAUGAAUAAGCAACGGCUAACUCCGUGCCAGCAGCCGCGGUAAUCU
RNAcentral lists this ribosomal RNA (506 nucleotides) under uncultured bacterium. RNAcentral's name for it is "bacterial SSU rRNA". It matches the Rfam family "Bacterial small subunit ribosomal RNA", at positions 28 to 526 of the family's 1533-position model. The record is from RNAcentral.